GAGGAUGCGAGCGUUAUCCGGAUUCAUUGGGUUUAAAGGGUGCGUAGGCUGUGGCUCAAGUCAGCGGUGAAAUUCCCGUGCUCAACACGGGCCGUGCCGUUGAUACCGCGCCACUGGAGUACGGACGCCGCCGGAGGAAUGAGUGGUGUAGCGGUGAAAUGCAUAGAUAUCACUCAGAACACCGAUUGCGAAGGCAUCCGGCGAGGCCGUCACUGACGCUGAGGCACGAAAGCGUGGGGAUAGAA
This 245-nucleotide ribosomal RNA is filed under the name uncultured bacterium. RNAcentral's name for it is "partial 16S ribosomal RNA". It matches the Rfam family "Bacterial small subunit ribosomal RNA", at positions 528 to 772 of the family's 1533-position model. The record is from RNAcentral.